Molecule: ribosomal RNA, 841 nt
Filed under: uncultured fungus
Lineage: Eukaryota; Fungi
Description: eukaryotic LSU rRNA
Rfam family: Eukaryotic large subunit ribosomal RNA
Source: RNAcentral
AUUAAGAUCUCAAAUGAAGCGAGGAUACCCCGCCCGAACUUUAAGCAUAUCAUUAAGCGGAGGAAAAGAAACUAACCAAGGAUGCCCCUAGUAACGGCGAGUGAAGCGGGCAAAGCUCAAAUUGAAAAUCGGGGCCUCUUUGGGGUUUCGAAUUGUAGUCUAGAGACGCAGCGUCAGCGAUGGCCCCUGGUAUAAAUCUUUUGGAACAAGGUAUCAUAGAGGGUGAGAAUCCCGUCUUUGACUAGGAGCGCUACGCGUACGACCUGUGUUCGAAGAGUCGGGUUGCUUGGGAUUGCAGCUCAAAAUGGGUGGUAAAUUUCAUCUAAAGCUAAAUAUCGACGAGAGACCGAUAGCAAACAAGUACCGUGAGGGAAAGAUGAAAAGAACUUUGAAGAGAGAGUUAAAAAGUACUUGAAAUUGUUAAGAGGGAAGCACUGGAAACCAGUCGUGCUCUGUGCCAUAUUUAUUGACGGCUGGCGAAGAGAGGUGGGUUCGAGAUCGCAAGACUCGAGUUUGCCUUUGGACGUUGGCUGGCAAGUUCUGUGGUAUGGAGUGAGUCAGAAUCAGUUUGUUUUUUUGCGCGGGAGAAAGCUAGCCUGGACGGUAGGGCCGAGGGGGCAACUUCAACGCCUGAAGCCGGUUAGUGCUACCGUGUAACAGACUGAGGAAGAAAACACGCACCACUCGGUUUCGGUUCCCGAUUCCUGGCUGGUACAUUGGCUUUGGACAACAAAGUUGUGCGGGUUGAUGUGCUGGUUACUGGGUUGGGUGAACUAGAUGCAGUGUUGGCGAUUCUGACGAAAUGGUUUUCAUUGACCCGUCUUGAAACACGGACCCAAGG